CCUGGAUUUGAAUGUAUGUUUUUUUAAGGGGUUGUAUCUGCUGCUGGCCACGAUGGAAAUUGAAAACUACAACUGACACAUAAAGGUUACAUUAACGAAGAUAACUAACAAAGACCAAUGAACCAUGAAAAUGGGGUCAAGGUCAGAUGAACCACGCCAAGCUGACAUGUACAGCUAACGAUGCUUUCAUAAAACAAAUAUAGUUGACCUAAUACUUAUAGUUUAAUAAAAAUAUACCAAAAC
RNAcentral lists this long non-coding RNA (243 nucleotides) under Mytilus galloprovincialis (Mediterranean mussel). The record is from RNAcentral. Lineage: Eukaryota; Metazoa; Mollusca; Bivalvia; Mytilida; Mytilidae.